AAUCAACGCUGGCGGCGUGCCUAACACAUGCAAGUCGAACGCGAAAGUCCCGCAAGGGAUGAGUAGAGUGGCAAACGGGUGAGUAACACGUGGGUGACCUGCCUUCGAGUGGGGGAUAACGUCCCGAAAGGGACGCUAAUACCGCAUAACAUCCUGCCUUUGAACAGGUGGUGAUCAAAGCGUCGGGGACCCGCGAAGGGCCGUGGCGCGUGGAAGGACGGGGCCCGCGUCUGAUUAGCAGGUUGGUGGGGUAACGGCUCACCAAGGCAACGAUCAGUAUCCGGCCUGAGGAGGGCGGACGGACACACUGGGACUGAGACACGGCCCAGACU
This 332-nucleotide ribosomal RNA is filed under the name uncultured bacterium. Its description in RNAcentral is "bacterial SSU rRNA". It matches the Rfam family "Bacterial small subunit ribosomal RNA", at positions 29 to 337 of the family's 1533-position model. The record is from RNAcentral.